RNAcentral lists this ribosomal RNA (460 nucleotides) under uncultured bacterium. RNAcentral describes it as "partial 16S ribosomal RNA". It matches the Rfam family "Bacterial small subunit ribosomal RNA", at positions 338 to 795 of the family's 1533-position model. The record is from RNAcentral.
CCUACGGGUGGCAACAGUGAGGAAUAUUGGUCAAUGGGCUUACGCCUGAACCAGCCAAGUCGCGUGAGGGAAGACUGCCCUAUGGGUUGUAAACCUCUUUUGUCAGGGAGCAAUUGGCGCUACGUGUAGCGUUAUCGAGAGUACCUGAAGAAAAAGCAUCGGCUAACUCCGUGCCAGCACCAGCGGUAAUACGGAGGACGAGAGGUUUAUCCGGAUUUAUUGGGUUUAAAGGGUGCGUAGGCGGAAUGCCAAGUCAGCGGUAAAAUCGCGGGGUUAACCCUGGGUCCGCCGUUGAAACUGGCGUCCGUGAGUGGGCGAGAGGUAUGCGGAAUGCGUGGUGUAGCGGUGAAAUGCAUAGAUAUCACGAAGAACUCCGAUUGCGAAGGCAGCAUACCGGAGCCCAACUGACGCUGAAGCACGAAAGCGUGGGUAUCGAACAGGAUUAGAUACCCUUGUAGUC